This 92-nucleotide non-coding RNA is filed under the name Porphyromonas cangingivalis. RNAcentral's name for it is "Bacterial small subunit ribosomal RNA". It matches the Rfam family "Bacterial small subunit ribosomal RNA", at positions 1438 to 1533 of the family's 1533-position model. Lineage: Bacteria; Pseudomonadati; Bacteroidota; Bacteroidia; Bacteroidales; Porphyromonadaceae. The record is from Rfam by way of RNAcentral.
ACCGCAAGGAUCGCACGAGGGUAAGACCGGUAACUGGGGCUAAGUCGUAACAAGGUAGCCGUACCGGAAGGUGCGGCUGGAACACCUCCUUU